UGCUAAGAGGGACAGCCUAUGUCCUAUCAGCUUGUUGGUAAGGUAAUGGCUUACCAAGGCUAUGACGGGUAUCCGGCCUGAGAGGGUGAACGGACACACUGGAACUGAGACACGGUCCAGACUCCUACGGGAGGCAGCAGUAGGGAAUAUUGCUCAAUGGGGGAAACCCUGAAGCAGCAACGCCGCGUGGAGGAUGAAGGUUUUAGGAUUGUAAACUCCUUUUGUUAGAGAAGAUAAUGACGGUAUCUAACGAAUAAGCACCGGCUAACUCCGUGCCAGCAGCCGCGGUAAUACGGAGGGUGCAAGCGUUACUCGGAAUCACUGGGCGUAAAGAGCGCGUAGGCGGGAUAGUCAGUCAGGUGUGAAAUCCUAUGGCUUAACCAUAGAACUGCAUUUGAAACUACUAUUCUAGAGUGUGGGAGAGGUAGGUGGAAUUCUUGGUGUAGGGGUAAAAUCCGUAGAGAUCAAGAGGAAUACUCAUGGCCCGGACCUGCUGGAACAUUACCUGACGUUGAUUGCGCA
Molecule: ribosomal RNA, 522 nt
Filed under: uncultured Helicobacter sp.
Lineage: Bacteria; Pseudomonadati; Campylobacterota; Epsilonproteobacteria; Campylobacterales; Helicobacteraceae
Description: bacterial SSU rRNA
Rfam family: Bacterial small subunit ribosomal RNA
Source: RNAcentral